RNAcentral lists this ribosomal RNA (626 nucleotides) under Trichoderma harzianum. RNAcentral describes it as "eukaryotic LSU rRNA". The stretch from base 240 to 393 matches the Rfam family "5.8S ribosomal RNA". Lineage: Eukaryota; Fungi; Ascomycota; Sordariomycetes; Hypocreales; Hypocreaceae. The record is from RNAcentral.
UCGUAAGCUGUCGUUGGUGACCAGCGGAGGGAUCAUUACCGAGUUUACAACUCCCAAACCCAAUGUGAACGUUACCAAACUGUUGCCUCGGCGGGAUCUCUGCCCCGGGUGCGUCGCAGCCCCGGACCAAGGCGCCCGCCGGAGGACCAACCAAAACUCUUAUUGUAUACCCCCUCGCGGGUUUUUUUAUAAUCUGAGCCUUCUCGGCGCCUCUCGUAGGCGUUUCGAAAAUGAAUCAAAACUUUCAACAACGGAUCUCUUGGUUCUGGCAUCGAUGAAGAACGCAGCGAAAUGCGAUAAGUAAUGUGAAUUGCAGAAUUCAGUGAAUCAUCGAAUCUUUGAACGCACAUUGCGCCCGCCAGUAUUCUGGCGGGCAUGCCUGUCCGAGCGUCAUUUCAACCCUCGAACCCCUCCGGGGGGUCGGCGUUGGGGAUCGGCCCUGCCUUGGCGGUGGCCGUCUCCGAAAUACAGUGGCGGUCUCGCCGCAGCCUCUCCUGCGCAGUAGUUUGCACACUCGCAUCGGGAGCGCGGCGCGUCCACAGCCGUUAAACACCCAACUUCUGAAAUGUUGACCUCGGAUCAGGUAGGAAUACCCGCUGAACUUAAGCAUAUCAAUAAGCGGAGGA